RNAcentral lists this ribosomal RNA (155 nucleotides) under uncultured bacterium. RNAcentral describes it as "partial 16S rRNA". It matches the Rfam family "Bacterial small subunit ribosomal RNA", at positions 355 to 507 of the family's 1533-position model. The record is from RNAcentral.
UAGGGAAUAUUGGUCAAUGGAGGCAACUCUGAACCAGCCAUGCCGCGUGCAGGAAGAAGGCGCUCAGCGUCGUAAACUGCUUUUAUAUGGGAGGAAAAGUGGUGAUUUAUCAUCAUCUGACGUUACCAUAGGAAUAAGCACCGGCUAACUCUGUG